RNAcentral lists this ribosomal RNA (714 nucleotides) under Triticum aestivum (bread wheat). Its description in RNAcentral is "partial small subunit ribosomal RNA". Lineage: Eukaryota; Viridiplantae; Streptophyta; Magnoliopsida; Poales; Poaceae. The record is from RNAcentral.
AUGAGUAGGGGUGGCAAGUUCAAAAGAACUGACAAGAAGGAUGUUGCUCGAAUUUUUCAAGCUGAUAUUCAACUUAUUCAGAGAAUCUGGAGGACAGUAGAGCGACAAAAAGAACUUGGUAAGGAGGUGGAUGUGUCCAACCAAAAGAAAGGAAGAUGUGGAAGGAAAGGAAAGGAUAAUGUUCUAUCUCAAAUCCCCACAGUUCCAUUGAAUAGAAGGUCGACUCUCAGGUCACUUGCUCGCGCAUUGGGUGUCAGUCAUACUACACUCUACCAGAAACUCAAGCUUCGCAAGAUUAGGAGGCACUCCAAUCGUUUGAAGCCAAGCUUGAAAGAAAAGAAUAAAAGAGAGAGGAUCAAGUUUUGCAUGUCGAUGCUUGAUGAGACAACUUUAGCAGCCACAAGACCUAAAUUCAUCACUAUGCACAACAUUGUGCAUAUUGACGAAAAGUGGUUCUCUAUGACAAAAAUGAACAGAAAUUACUGCCUCCUCCCUCAGGAAGAUGACCCGGUCAGAACCAUUCGGAACAAGAACUGUAUUGGCAAAGUAAUGUUCCUAACCGCUGUUGCUCAACCCAGAUAUGAUGCUGAAGGCAAUGUAACAUUCUCAGGGAAAAUUGGUGUCUGGCCUUUCGUCCAAGAGAUUCCAGCUGCUAGAAGAAGUGAAAAUAGAGCAAGAGGGACCAUGGAAAUCAAGAACGUCACUGUGAACUGA